This 332-nucleotide ribosomal RNA is filed under the name Chihuahuanus globosus. Its description in RNAcentral is "partial 12S ribosomal RNA". Lineage: Eukaryota; Metazoa; Arthropoda; Arachnida; Scorpiones; Vaejovidae. The record is from RNAcentral.
UAAAGUUUAUAGAAUUAGGUAGUAAAGAAAUUUCUGAAACCUAAAGAAUUUGGCGGUAUUUAAAAUAAUUGGAGGAACCUGUUAUUUAAUUGACAAUCCACAACAUAUCUUUCCUAAAUUUUAUUUGUAUAUCGUCGUUUUGAUAAUAUUUAAAAAUUAUAAUCAAUAUUAAUAAAUUUUUAAAAAUCAGAUCAAGGUGCAGUAUAUUUAGGUUAUAAUGGGUUACAAUAUAUUUAUAUAUGAAAUGGAUAUUAAAUUAAAAUCAUAUUGAAAGUGGAUUCAAAAGUAAUAUUAAAUUAAAAUGUUAAUUUGAUUUAUAAUUUUAAAUAUGC